Long non-coding RNA from Lynx canadensis (Canada lynx), 495 nucleotides. RefSeq lists it as uncharacterized. The transcript has 3 exons. The record is from RefSeq and is a predicted model, not a curated record. Lineage: Eukaryota; Metazoa; Chordata; Mammalia; Carnivora; Felidae.
GGACUUGGAACAAAAGGGGGAACUCUGAUGAACUCUCUCCUCCCCUCUCCCCCGGACGCCCGGGUAUCUCUCCCUCUCGCAACUUUGCCGCCGCGACUUUCUCCGCUGUCGGGCCACACACAAAAGUGUCCGAGCGCCUUGCGGACUGCAGCAAGGGAAAUGUCCCUUGGCAGUGCGACGAGGUGGGGACGAAGGUGCAGUUAUUAUCAUCAGCAUCUAGAAAGCAUCAUUCAGGGCAUUGACAUCCAUACUGCAUUGUUCUUACUGGAUCUUUCUAUCAGUGAACAUUAUGGAAGUACCAAUACAGCAUCAAGUUAUUCCUGGAUGGAAAGUUUUCAAACUUCUUCAUUUGGAGUUACUUGAACUUUAGGAUGAUAGGCUUUUUGACGAUGCCUUCCCUAUGUGGAUUACUACAGUUUGAUCACUGGGAAUUCUCUGCCUCCAAGCAGCACUCUCAGGUGACUACAGAAGCGUUGGCACCCAGCAUGCUCAGGU